RNAcentral lists this ribosomal RNA (477 nucleotides) under uncultured Eubacteriales bacterium. RNAcentral describes it as "bacterial SSU rRNA". It matches the Rfam family "Bacterial small subunit ribosomal RNA", at positions 28 to 505 of the family's 1533-position model. Lineage: Bacteria; Bacillati; Bacillota; Clostridia; Eubacteriales. The record is from RNAcentral.
GAUGAACGCUGGCGGCGUGCUUAACACAUGCAAGUCGAGCGAGAAGUUAUUGAUGGAUUCUUCGGAUGACAGAUAUAACGGACAGCGGCGGACGGGUGAGUAACGCGUGGGUAACCUGCCCUGUACAGAGGGAUAGCCACUGGAAACGGUGAUUAAUACCUCAUAAGAUUACGGUAUCGCAUGAUACAGUGAUCAAAGCUCCGGCGGUACAGGAUGGACCCGCGUCUGAUUAGCUAGUUGGUAAGGUAACGGCUUACCAAGGCGACGAUCAGUAGCCGGCCUGAGAGGGUGAACGGCCACACUGGAACUGAGACACGGUCCAGACUCCUACGGGAGGCAGCAGUGGGGAAUAUUGCACAAUGGGCGAAAGCCUGAUGCAGCAACGCCGCGUGAGCGAAGAAGGCCUUCGGGUCGUAAAGCUCUGUCCUCAGGGAAGAAUUUUGACGGUACCUGAGGAGGAAGCCCCGGCUAACUACG